Molecule: ribosomal RNA, 780 nt
Filed under: uncultured Neocallimastigales
Lineage: Eukaryota; Fungi; Neocallimastigomycota; Neocallimastigomycetes; Neocallimastigales
Description: partial large subunit ribosomal RNA
Rfam family: Eukaryotic large subunit ribosomal RNA
Source: RNAcentral
UAUCUCUGUAGAGUCUGCAUAUCAAUAAGCGGAGGAAAAGAAACUAACAAGGAUUCCCUUAGUAACGGCGAGUGAAGCGGGAAGAGCUCAAAUUUGAAAGUCUUCAAGGUUCUACCUUGACGAAUUGUAGUUUAUAGAAGUGUUUUCUGUUAGUGAAGUCGGCUAAAAGUUCUUUGGAAUAGGACAUCAUAGAGGGUGAGAAUCCCGUAUUUGGUCAUUCUCCUAGCUGUUGUGAUACACUUUCAACGAGUCGGAUUGUUUGGGAAUGCAGUCCAAAAUGGGUGGUAAAUUUCAUCUAAAGCUAAAUAUUGGCGAGAGACCGAUAGCGAACAAGUACCGUGAGGGAAAGAUGAAAAGAACUUUGAAGAGAGAGUUAAACAGUACGUGAAAUUGUCAAAAGGGAAGCGUUUGACACCAGUGUUGUUUUUCCGAAAAUCAAUUAACGAAUGGUUUGAUUUUGAGUAGUUAUGACUUCAAUCGCUUUCUCACUUUCUUUACGAUCUUUCUUAAUGCACUUUUCGGUUAACAAGUCAACAUCAGUUUCUUUUGUUGUAAAAGGGUAUGAGGAAGGUGGCUUUCUUUUCGGAGAAAGUGUUUAUAGCCUUGUGCCUCUGCAAUCGGAGAGAUUGAGGUCUGCAGCGUAGAUCCUUCGGGGUUAGAUAGCAUUUGUGCUAAGUUAUAGCUUUUUCAUAGACAACUUGUUGACUAUGUUUAGUCUUGUAGCUUACUCGCUGACGCUAUUUUACCUACGCUUAGGAUGUUGAACGCGCACAGAGUCUC